This 420-nucleotide long non-coding RNA is filed under the name Ricinus communis (castor bean). RNAcentral describes it as "long non-coding RNA (RCOM_LNC002092)". Lineage: Eukaryota; Viridiplantae; Streptophyta; Magnoliopsida; Malpighiales; Euphorbiaceae. The record is from RNAcentral.
GGCUUUGGAAAUUUGAGCUCGCGUGAGGUCACCCUCCUAGGCAGGUCUAGAAGCCAUAUGAACCCAAACUGCAAGUUUUGAGCAAGGACGACACCAUUUUAUUUGUUGCUUCUGGUUAAGGGAUGAACCUCACACAAAUGGACCCUAUACUCAUGUGGGUUUAGUCUCUCUUUUCUAGAAUAGAAGGUUGGGUGUCUCAAACAACGUCGUCUGCCUCAUGCGUCCUGAGGGAACUGUCCUCACAUGAGUGGACCCUGUGCUCGCUUGAGGUCACCCGUAUGAUGAGAAUAGAAAAUAUUUUCUUCAAUUUUGGUUAGUUUUAUAUGUUUUAUUUAAAAUAUGUCUUAUUUAAAUUUUGACUCUUUAUUUACCUCACAUGUUUAUUCAUUUCUCUUAAUCACAUUAUUUAUUUUAGUUUUA